AAAAUGAAGAAGGAUUACAAAUUGAUGAAUUAAUCACAAGUUCAUCAUCCAGUUCAGAUUCUGAAACAGAAAAUGAACUGUUUACAAAACCAAAAUUGAAAAUCAAUGUUCUUUCAAAAGACCAGAAGUUACUCUUAGAAAUCCUUACACAGGUUGAAGAUUCUCAACUACAAAAGGAAUUUUUAGGAAAACUUUUAAAAACCUUUGAAGAACAACCAAUACAAAAACCUUCUAUUCUGCCCUCUGUUGCAAGAAACACAUAUGACCUUACGUCCAUGUUGGGUAGAAAGAAGACUUCAAAACAAUCAACUGUUUCAGUCCAAAGCC
Molecule: unclassified non-coding RNA, 327 nt
Filed under: Hevea brasiliensis (rubber tree)
Lineage: Eukaryota; Viridiplantae; Streptophyta; Magnoliopsida; Malpighiales; Euphorbiaceae
Source: RNAcentral